This 218-nucleotide ribosomal RNA is filed under the name uncultured bacterium. RNAcentral describes it as "partial 16S ribosomal RNA". It matches the Rfam family "Bacterial small subunit ribosomal RNA", at positions 328 to 539 of the family's 1533-position model. The record is from RNAcentral.
ACGCUCGACACCUACUGGAGGCAGCAGUGAGGAAUAUUGGUCAAUGGGCGCAGGCCUGAACCAGCCAAGUAGCGUGAAGGAUGACUGCCCUAUGGGUUGUAAACUUCUUUUAUAUGGGAAUAAAGUUUUCCACGUGUGGAAUUUUGUAUGUACCAUAUGAAUAAGGAUCGGCUAACUCCGUGCCGGCAGCCGCGGUAAUCUGAGCGGGCUGGCAAGGC